This 468-nucleotide ribosomal RNA is filed under the name uncultured bacterium. RNAcentral's name for it is "partial 16S ribosomal RNA". It matches the Rfam family "Bacterial small subunit ribosomal RNA", at positions 28 to 507 of the family's 1533-position model. The record is from RNAcentral.
GACGAACGCUGGCGGCGUGCUUAACACAUGCAAGUCGAACGGAAAGGCCCUGCUUUUGUGGGGUGCUCGAGUGGCGAACGGGUGAGUAACACGUGAGUAACCUGCCCUUGACUUUGGGAUAACUUCAGGAAACUGGGGCUAAUACCGGAUAUGAGCUCCUGCUGCAUGGUGGGGGUGGGAAAGUUUCGGCGGUUGGGGAUGGACGUGCGGUUUAUCAGCGUGUUGGUGGGGUAGUGGCUUACCAAGGCUUUGACGGGUAGCCGGACUGAGAGGGUGACCGGCCCCAUUGGGACUGAGAUACGGGCCGGACUCAUACGGGAGGAAGCGGUGGGGAAUAGUGCAAAAUGGGCGGAAGCCGGAUGGAGCAACGCCGCGUGCGGGAUGACGGCCUUCGGGUUGUAAACCGCUUUCGCCUGUGACGAAGCGUGAGUGACGGUAAUGGGUAAAGAGGCACCGGCUAACUACGUG